GACAUAUUUUCAUUUUUUUGACAAAAGCAAAGGAUAUUCAUUCAUUCAAAUUGAUAGAAUACAUCAGAGACAAUAACAUGAUCAAUAUCCCUUAAAACGUAUAGGGUGAAUCUGCGAACAAACUCACAUCAUCAAAAUUAAUAGCAUAUAACGAUAAAAUGCCUACAAAUAAUAUGAUAAAAUCUAAAUCACCAGAAUACCCAUGUUUCUGGAUCUACUACGUUGAUACCCAAAUCAUUGAUUGAAUUUGUGAUUGUCUGAAGUUGAUCUUUCAAUACGAACCAAACGAACACUACACAACAAAAGAUGCGAAAUCAAACAACGCCGGACAAGACGACGAACAACAGAACGUCGCACUAAGACGACGAAAUCACGAAAGAAAAACUUGAUGUAUGUGAAAAUCACUUAUUUAGAUUGAAAGAAAGGGGAAAAAAGAUGCAGAGAGGUGAUUCUAGGUCAAAAAUUGACCUAAUAUCACCCCUCCUCGAUAAGUGAAAGAGGAAGAAAACGUAGAGAGAAGACAGAGUUUCUCUCACUAAAAAAUUAGGGACAGCUAUUGUAUUGCAAAAAAAAAAAAAAAAAAAAAAAACUAGACAUAUUCUUUUCGUGUUUGUUACAUGAUUAUAAUGUUAAGAAGAAGAUGAGCUUUAU
This 651-nucleotide long non-coding RNA is filed under the name Medicago truncatula (barrel medic). RNAcentral describes it as "long non-coding RNA (MTRU_LNC006871)". Lineage: Eukaryota; Viridiplantae; Streptophyta; Magnoliopsida; Fabales; Fabaceae. The record is from RNAcentral.